This 253-nucleotide ribosomal RNA is filed under the name uncultured bacterium. Its description in RNAcentral is "partial 16S ribosomal RNA". It matches the Rfam family "Bacterial small subunit ribosomal RNA", at positions 524 to 776 of the family's 1533-position model. The record is from RNAcentral.
UACGUAGGGGGCAAGCGUUGUCCGGAAUCAUUGGGCGUAAAGAGCGUGUAGGCGGUUCGGUAAGUCUGCCGUGAAAUCCUGGGGCUCAACCCCGGGCGUGCGGUGGAUACUGCCGGGCUAGAGGGUGGUAGAGGCGAGUGGAAUUCCUGGUGUAGCGGUGAAAUGCGCAGAUAUCAGGAGGAACACCGAUUGCGAAGGCAGCUCGCUGGGACGUUACUGACGCUGAGACGCGAAAGCGUGGGGAGCAAACAGG